RNAcentral lists this ribosomal RNA (371 nucleotides) under Ochrobactrum sp. 103R. RNAcentral's name for it is "bacterial SSU rRNA". It matches the Rfam family "Bacterial small subunit ribosomal RNA", at positions 976 to 1347 of the family's 1533-position model. The record is from RNAcentral. Lineage: Bacteria; Pseudomonadati; Pseudomonadota; Alphaproteobacteria; Hyphomicrobiales; Brucellaceae.
AGCCCUUGACAUACCGGUCGCGGACACAGAGAUGUGUCUUUCAGUUCGGCUGGACCGGAUACAGGUGCUGCAUGGCUGUCGUCAGCUCGUGUCGUGAGAUGUUGGGUUAAGUCCCGCAACGAGCGCAACCCUCGCCUUUAGUUGCCAUCAUUUAGUUGGGCACUCUAAAGGGACUGCCAGUGAUAAGCUGGAGGAAGGUGGGGAUGACGUCAAGUCCUCAUGGCCCUUACGGGCUGGGCUACACACGUGCUACAAUGGUGGUGACAGUGGGCAGCAAGCACGCGAGUGUGAGCUAAUCUCCAAAAGCCAUCUCAGUUCGGAUUGCACUCUGCAACUCGAGUGCAUGAAGUUGGAAUCGCUAGUAAUCGCGG